CCUACGGGGGGCAGCAGUGGGGAAUAUUGGACAAUGGGGGCAACCCUGAUCCAGCCAUGCCGCGUGUGUGAAGAAGGCCCUCGGGUUGUAAAGCACUUUCAGUGAGGAAGAACGCCUGGUGGUUAAUACCCAUCAGGAAAGACAUCACUCACAGAAGAAGCACCGGCUAACUCCGUGCCAGCAGCCGCGGUAAUACGGAGGGUGCGAGCGUUAAUCGGAAUUACUGGGCGUAAAGCGCGCGUAGGUGGCUUGAUAAGCCGGGUGUGAAAGCCCCGGGCUCAACCUGGGAACGGCAUCCGGAACUGUCAAGCUAGAGUGCAGGAGAGGAAGGUAGAAUUCCCGGUGUAGCGGUGAAAUGCGUAGAGAUCGGGAGGAAUACCAGUGGCGAAGGCGGCCUUCUGGACUGACACUGACACUGAGGUGCGAAAGCGUGGGUAGCAAACAGGAUUAGAUACCCGAGUAGUC
This 465-nucleotide ribosomal RNA is filed under the name Vreelandella stevensii. Its description in RNAcentral is "partial 16S ribosomal RNA". It matches the Rfam family "Bacterial small subunit ribosomal RNA", at positions 338 to 795 of the family's 1533-position model. The record is from RNAcentral. Lineage: Bacteria; Pseudomonadati; Pseudomonadota; Gammaproteobacteria; Oceanospirillales; Halomonadaceae.